Molecule: transfer RNA, 74 nt
Filed under: Enterococcus phage iF6
Lineage: Duplodnaviria; Heunggongvirae; Uroviricota; Caudoviricetes; Herelleviridae
Description: tRNA-Trp
Source: RNAcentral
ACACGCCGUGAAGGAUUCGAACCCCCGUCUUCCGGGUUGGAGCCGGAAAUGAUAGCCACUACACCAACAGCGCA